GAUGAACGCUGGCGGCGUGCCUAACACAUGCAAGUCGAACGGAGAUUACGGACGGAAGUUUUCGGAUGGAAGACUGUAAUUCUUAGUGGCGGACGGGUGAGUAACGCGUGGGCAACCUGCCCUAUACAGGGGGAUAGCAGCUGGAAACGGCUGGUAAGACCGCAUAAGUCGGUUAAAUCGCAUGAUUUGAUCGGGUAAUGAGCAAUCAGGUAUAGGAUGGGCCCGCGUCCGAUUAGCCAGUUGGCAGGGUAAAAGCCUACCAAAGCGACGAUCGGUAGCCGGAAUGAGAGGUCGGACGGCCACAUUGGGACUGAGACACGGCCCAAAAUCCUACGGGAGGCAGCAGUGGGGGAUAUUGCACAAUGGAGGAAACUCUGAUGCAGCGACGCCGCGUGAGUGAAGAAGUAUUUCGGUAUGUAAAGCGCUAUCAGCAGGGAAGAUGAUGACGGUACCUGACUAAGAAGCCCCGGCUAACUACGUG
This 481-nucleotide ribosomal RNA is filed under the name uncultured bacterium. RNAcentral's name for it is "partial 16S ribosomal RNA". It matches the Rfam family "Bacterial small subunit ribosomal RNA", at positions 28 to 507 of the family's 1533-position model. The record is from RNAcentral.